AUUGAACGCUGGCGGCAGGCUUAACACAUGCAAGUCGAGCGGAGAUGAGGUGCUUGCACCUUAUCUUAGCGGCGGACGGGUGAGUAAUGCUUAGGAAUCUGCCUAUUAGUGGGGGACAACAUUCCGAAAGGAAUGCUAAUACCGCAUACGUCCUACGGGAGAAAGCAGGGGAUCUUCGGACCUUGCGCUAAUAGAUGAGCCUAAGGCGGAUUAGCUAGUUGGUGGGGUAAAGGCCUACCAAGGCGACGAUCUGUAGCGGGUCUGAGAGGAUGAUCAGCCACAGUGGGACUGAGACACGGCCCAGAAUCCUACGGGAGGCAGCAGUGGGGAAUAUUGGACAAUGGGGGGAACCCUGAUCCAGCCAUGCCGCGUGUGUGAAGAAGGCCUUAUGGUUGUAAAGCACUUUAAGCGAGGAGGAGGCUACUGAGACUAAUACUCUUGGAUAGUGGACGUUACUCGCAGAAUAAGCACCGGCUAACUCUGUGCCAGCCGCCGCGGUAA
RNAcentral lists this ribosomal RNA (501 nucleotides) under uncultured bacterium. RNAcentral describes it as "partial 16S ribosomal RNA". It matches the Rfam family "Bacterial small subunit ribosomal RNA", at positions 30 to 523 of the family's 1533-position model. The record is from RNAcentral.